GCUGGCGGCAUGCCUAACACAUGCAAGUCGAACGAAGCCUUCGGGCUUAGUGGCGCACGGGUGCGUAACGCGUGGGAAUCUGCCCUUAGGUACGGAAUAACUCAGGGAAACUUGAGCUAAUACCGUAUAAUGACUCCGGUCCAAAGAUUUAUCGCCUAAGGAUGAGCCCGCGUAGGAUUAGCUAGUUGGUGAGGUAAAGGCUCACCAAGGCGACGAUCCUUAGCUGGUCUGAGAGGAUGAUCAGCCACACUGGGACUGAGACACGGCCCAGACUCCUACGGGAGGCAGCAGUGGGGAAUAUUGGACAAUGGGCGAAAGCCUGAUCCAGCAAUGCCGCGUGAGUGAUGAAGGCCUUAGGGUUGUAAAGCUCUUUUACCCGGGAUGAUAAUGACAGUACCGGGAGAAUAAGCCCCGGCUAACUCCGUGCCAGCAGCCGCGGUAAUACGGAGGGGGCUAGCGUUGUUCGGAAUUACUGGGCGUAAAGCGCACGUAGGCGGCUUUGUAAGUUAGAGGUGAAAGCCCGGGGCUCAACUCCGGAAUUGCCUUUAAGACUGCAUCGCUAGAAUUGUGG
This 571-nucleotide ribosomal RNA is filed under the name uncultured soil bacterium. RNAcentral describes it as "bacterial SSU rRNA". It matches the Rfam family "Bacterial small subunit ribosomal RNA", at positions 35 to 652 of the family's 1533-position model. The record is from RNAcentral.